ACACCUGAUCUUGUGGUGAGAAUAUUUGGAUAUGCAGGUUCAUUUUCCAUGUGUGAAUUCUGUGAUUUCUUUGCUUCCCAUGUAUUUUGCUCGGAAAGGUUUAUUAUCUAAACCUUCACAUGUGACAUAGCUGCAAACAUAUAACUACUUCUUGAACUAUUUUGCUGAUCUUGUCUAGUUGUGUUUCAUGUCUGUCCAUAUGUGUCUGCUUAUUAUGUUGUGUUAUAGUGUCUUGAUCUAAUCAUCCCUUUGGGCAUUGUGGGUGGUUCUGUUGAGCCCCAAGCUGAUUUCCUCUUCCAUUACAUCCUAUAUACAUGGCUCAUUAUUAGAUUUCUUGAUUGUUUUUAAUGAUAACUGAAACUCCGGGAUCUAUCACUACUUCCUUUCAGAAAUAAUAAUAUGAAAGGUGUUGCUUCAGUUGAGGUGUUUCUGACUUUCUCUAUCUUAUUUUGUCCCUCUCCUUCCCGAAAACAAAAAAAGAAUAAGCAGAGAGAUGUCUCACCCUUUUUUUAUUUUAUUUUAUGCAUAACCAUUACUAAUAUUUUUUUAUUUUUUAUUAACUGAUUAUGUAAAUGUUGCGAGUAAAAAACUUCUCCUUUUUGGGAGAAUUAUAUAGGUCAACUUGUGUAAAGGAUGUUUCUUGCUUGUGGUAGAAAUUGUACGCUUUAAUACCAUUACAUUAAGUUUACACAGGUUUCCCAUUCAUAUACUUGCGAUUUUUUGUCUUGUUUAAUGAAUUUUUUAGGAACUUAACAGAAACACUACUACAAAUCCCUUAGUUUCUGGACGCUAUGUGCUCGACGCCAUGUAUCAAGCGUUAGCCAAAAAAAUUAUUUUCGUGUUUUUUCGACGCUUUUAAGCGUCACCAUUAGAUCUCGACACAUAAAAGCGUCGAGAAAAAUACAUGUGAUAUGCACGUGACUGUCUAUAUCCCGGGACUUCAAAUUUCAGGGAAAAAAAAAGCGGGCUAAUUAAAUUAAACCAAAAAAAAAAGAAAAAAAUUAAACCGCCAUUACGCAGUUAGCAGUCAGAAGAAAUAAAAAAAAAAAAAACCCUUAGCUCCUAACGAACCCUAACACGAUCUUCUUUGCUUGCUCACGCACAAUCGCUCUCAUCUAAUCUCUUAAACCACUUGAAAUUGUUGAAUUUUCGUUGCUCUCUUCAAUAUUAUCUUCAAUUUUCGUUAAUCCUCUCGCUCAUGUCAUCAAUUUUCCGUAUGUUUUGGUUGAUAUAUCAAUUUCGUAGGUUUUGGUUAUCAAUUUUGUUGCUAAUGCUGAAUUUUUGUUUAUUCAUUGCAUGUAUGGGAAUUCUUUUUGCUAAUGGGAUUUCGAAACCACCCACGCAGAGAAGUGAAGAAUUUAUAUCACAGGUGACAGAGGAGGAGCUUAUCUAAAAAUUGUUCUAAUUGUGAUAGUUGCUGCACUUAGCGAGUUGGCCGAGAUGCUAAUGGUAACGUUGUAUACUUGAGUGGUUCUAUUCAGCCUAUUGAUGUUUGGAGUAAUAACGGUGUCAGAUUCUAUGUUGAAUUUAAUGAGUUUCACCAGCCGAUUCGAAAAGGUGGACAUAUUUUAAUCCGAUUCCUUGGUAACAUUGCGAAGAUAGAGACGUAUUGUCCACUUGGAGAAGAGGAUUGGCAUGCUGUUGAUGAGCAUUUUAAAAAGAA
This is a long non-coding RNA of Chenopodium quinoa (quinoa), 1663 nucleotides long. RefSeq lists it as uncharacterized. The record is from RefSeq and is a predicted model, not a curated record. The transcript has 3 exons. NCBI's taxonomy places the organism in Eukaryota, Viridiplantae, Streptophyta, Magnoliopsida, Caryophyllales, Amaranthaceae.